RNAcentral lists this transfer RNA (73 nucleotides) under Marmota monax (woodchuck). RNAcentral's name for it is "tRNA.Ala". Lineage: Eukaryota; Metazoa; Chordata; Mammalia; Rodentia; Sciuridae. The record is from RNAcentral.
GUUGGGAUGUAGCUCAGUGGCAAAGUGUUGCCUUGCAUUCUCAAAGCCCUGGGUUCGACACCCAGUUCCAAAA